This 253-nucleotide ribosomal RNA is filed under the name uncultured bacterium. Its description in RNAcentral is "partial 16S ribosomal RNA". It matches the Rfam family "Bacterial small subunit ribosomal RNA", at positions 524 to 776 of the family's 1533-position model. The record is from RNAcentral.
UACAGAGGGGGCAAGCGUUGUUCGGAAUUACUGGGCGUAAAGGGCGCGUAGGCGGCCUGCUAAGUCGAACGGGAAAUCCCUGGGCUCAACCCAGGAACUGCGUCCGAUACUGGUUGGCUUGAAUCCGGGAGAGGGAUGUGGAAUUCCAGGUGUAGCGGUGAAAUGCGUAGAUAUCUGGAGGAACACCGGUGGCGAAGGCGACAUCCUGGACCGGCAUUGACGCUGAGGCGCGAAAGCCAGGGGAGCAAACGGG